AGAGCCAUCGUGGCAGCCCUGGGCCUCCAUUUCAGACGUUCAUCUUGCCUAAGCCACCACCAUCAGGGUCUCAGUCAGUCAUCAUUCUCAUUUACUCGGGUGGCUGGGUGAGGGCGGAAUACUACCUUCCAGCUGUCUGAGAUUAAGCCUAAGCCACCACCAUCAGGGUCUCAGUCAGUCAUCAUUCUCAUUUACUCGGGUGGCUGGGCGAGGGCGGAAUACUACCUUCCAGCUGUCUGAGAUUAAGCAGAACAGCAGCUAAAGCAGUAACAGCAGGUCUCCUUCAGCAGCUUGCCACAGGGAAGAGGGUCCCGCGUGAACCGAACUCAACUUCCACCUGCGCAGAGGCUGGAGUAUAGUGGCAUGAUCAUAGAUCACUGCAGCCUCAAACUCCUGGGCUCAAGCGAUCCUCCCACCUCAGCCUCCAUAUAGCUGGUGGGGACCAAGUUUCUAACACAUGAAUGUUGGGAGACACAUUCAGACCAUCGCAGUGGCCUUAUAAAAAGAGACACAAGAGCUUGCUCUCUGCCAUGUGAGAAUACCACAAGAAGACUGUCCUCAGCAAAUCAGAAAGCGGGUGGACCCUCAUCAGACACCAGAUGUGCCUGCACCUUGAUCUUGGACUUGCCAGCCUUCAGAACAGUAAGAAAGAAAUGUGUGUUGUUUAAGCCACCCAGUCUAUGGUAACUUGCUAUAGCAGCCCACUAGGAGACCCCAAGAUAUUUAAAAACUCAUCAGCACCUGCUUUCUGCAUCUGGACCCUGAUCUUCUGGUGGGUUUACCAGUUACUUGUAGAGUGUCCCUGUGAUAGUUUUAGGUGUCAACUUGACAGGAUUGAGGGAUGCCUAGAUGGCUGGGGAAGCACUGUUUCUGAGAAGGACCAUGUUUUUGGAGGAGACUGUUUUAUGAGUGAAUUUCAGGGGACACAUUCAGAUCAUGGCAGUGGCAUUAUAAAGAGAGACACAAAAGCUUGCUCUCUCUCUCUGCCAUGUAAGACUACCACACAAAGACUGCCAUCUGCAAACCAGAAGCAGGUGGGCUUUCCUCAGACACCAGAUCUGCCUGCACCUUGAUCUUGGACUUGCCAGCCUUCAGAACUCUAAGAAAGAAAUGGUAGCAUGGCUUGGUCUAAGUUGGAAGGCCUGAGAAACAAGCACAUGGUGGAACUGAGUUCAAGGAUAAAGACUUGAGAAUACCUGCUCAGUGGACUGAGUAGGGAAGAUCAACCCUCAAUGUAGGCAGGCACUAUCCAAUCACCUGAGGGCCCAGAUGGAACAAAAAGGUGGAAGAAGGGUGAAUUCUCUCUUCCAGAGCUGUGACACCCUUCUCAUGCCCUUGUACCACACAACUCUAGGUCCUUUGGCCUUUGGACUCUGACACUUGCACCAGUGGCCCUCUGGGGCUCUCAAGCCUUUAGCCUUGAACUUAGUUACACCAUGUGCCUCCUUGUUUCUCAGGCCUUCCAACUUGGAUCAGGCCAUGCCACCGGCUUCUCUGAUUCUCCAGCUUGCAGAUGGUAUAUUGUGACCCUGGCAUUUAAUAACUAUGACUUUGGUCUUAAGCAAUUUUCUUCCUCUGUGGAUUGAUAUUUACAUAUCAAUGUGGAUAAUAAUUUCUUACCACGGUAACUGUUGUGAGGUAAAAAUGAGUUAACAUAAGUAAAACCGAGCACAUGCAAACCAUCCGAAAUGGUUAAUACUUACUAUUUGUACUUGAAGAAAUAAAUGUUUUUGACAAUAAACUUCUUGUGCAGUUUUCCUCA
Long non-coding RNA from Homo sapiens (human), 1762 nucleotides. Ensembl annotates it as long intergenic non-protein coding RNA 847. NCBI's taxonomy places the organism in Eukaryota, Metazoa, Chordata, Mammalia, Primates, Hominidae. The record is from Ensembl.